UACGUAGGUGGCGAGCGUUGUCCGGAUUUACUGGGCGUAAAGGGAGCGUAGGCGGACUUUUAAGUGAGAUGUGAAAUACUCGGGCUCAACUUGAGUGCUGCAUUUCAAACUGGAAGUCUAGAGUGCAGGAGAGGAGAAUGGAAUUCCUAGUGUAGCGGUGAAAUGCGUAGAGAUUAGGAAGAACACCAGUGGCGAAGGCGAUUCUCUAGACUUUAACUGACGCUGAGGCUCGAAAGCGUGGGGAGCAAACAGG
Molecule: ribosomal RNA, 253 nt
Filed under: uncultured bacterium
Lineage: Bacteria
Description: partial 16S ribosomal RNA
Rfam family: Bacterial small subunit ribosomal RNA
Source: RNAcentral